AUGGCGACCGGCGUACGGGUGAGUAACGCGUAUCCAACCUGCCCUUUACUAUGGGACAGCCCGUCGAAGGCGGAUUAAUACCGUAUGUUGUCAUGUUGAUGCAUAUUUUCAUGACCAAAGGCUUCGGCCGGUAAAGGAUGGGGAUGCGUCUGAUUAGCUUGCCGGCGGGGUAACGGCCCACCGGGGCGACGAUCAGUAGGGGUUCUGAGAGGAAGGUCCCCCACAUUGGAACUGAGACACGGUCCAAACUCCUACGGAAGGCAGCAG
Molecule: ribosomal RNA, 267 nt
Filed under: uncultured bacterium
Lineage: Bacteria
Description: partial 16S ribosomal RNA
Rfam family: Bacterial small subunit ribosomal RNA
Source: RNAcentral